CCCUUAGAUGUUCUGGGCUGCACGCGCGCUACACUGAAGCUAUCAACACGUUUUCCCUCCCUGAGAAGGGCGGGUAACCUUUUGAAUCAGCUUCGUGGUAGGGAUCGGGGCUUGCAAUUGUUCCCCGUGAACCAGGAAUUCCUAGUAGACGCGAGUCAUAAGCUCGCAUCGAUUAAGUCCCUGCCCUUUGUACACACCGCCCGUCGCUACUACCGAUUGAACGGUUUAGUGAGGCAUUUGGACCGACGCAUCUCAGUUUAACCGCUGGUUUGUGUUGGAAAGACUUCCAAACUUGAGCGUUUAGAGGAAGUAAAAGUCGUAACA
RNAcentral lists this ribosomal RNA (324 nucleotides) under uncultured eukaryote. RNAcentral describes it as "partial 18S ribosomal RNA". It matches the Rfam family "Eukaryotic small subunit ribosomal RNA", at positions 1470 to 1796 of the family's 1831-position model. The record is from RNAcentral.